AUCAGUAUGCUAAAAUAGGUGAUUAGCUAAAAGCCUAAAAUGAUCAAUCACAACAAUACAAUCAUGCAUAGUGCGACCAAAACAGGGGAGGCUUUUAGCAUGAUCAAUAUGACAUAAUGACAACGAAGAAGAUCAAAACAGAGGAGGCUAGAGGCACGAUGGAUGGAGAUCUAACCUUGUUGGCUCCGGUAAGGUGUUGAAGCCCAGCUGCCCAGCAUGGUGAUGGCGGUCGGUGGAUGGAACACGGACCAGGGAGGGCCAAGGGCUCUUCAACCUCUUCGACUUUGAGACUUCAAUGGGGAAAUUGGGAAAGUCAGGAGAUAGAAGAGUGAAGAGAAGAGGAAGAGCCAAAGAGGAUGGGUUUAAGGGUUUAAUGGGAUUAAAAGGAUAGAGGUCUGACCUUGGCUCUGGCAAGGUGUUGAAGCGCAGCUCCCAGCACGGCAAUACGGCAGCACGAUGUUGAAGCCUCCGCUCUCUGGCAAUAAAGUUCAAAACCCUAAAGAGGAAAAGAAAAGAUUAAGGAAUACUAAGACUUGAGAUCUAGAGGAAGGGGAUUUGGAGGAUCCUUACCCAAAACGAUGUACGAUGAUGGCCGAAGACAGGAAGACAAUGUCAGUGAUGGUCGAUGACAAUGAGAGAAGAUGGAGGAUCGAUGUCACGGAUCAAGGACAGAACACGCCAAAAGGGGAAGACGGAAGAUCUGUCGACAAAUAGGGGAAGACGAUGAUGGCGGUCGGUGGAUAGAACAUGGACCAGGGAUGGAUGAUCGACUUUGACAGAUGGGGAAGAAUUGAAGAUGGAGAAGAGAAGAGGAAGAGCGGAAGUGAGAAGUCUGA
RNAcentral lists this long non-coding RNA (836 nucleotides) under Elaeis guineensis (African oil palm). Its description in RNAcentral is "long non-coding RNA (EGUI_LNC074926)". The record is from RNAcentral. Lineage: Eukaryota; Viridiplantae; Streptophyta; Magnoliopsida; Arecales; Arecaceae.